AAAGGAACGCUAAUACCGCAUACGUCCUACGGGAGAAAGCAGGGGACCGUUCGGGCCUUGCGCNUAUCAGAUGAGCCUAGGUCGGAUUAGCUAGUUGGUGAGGUAAUGGCUCACCAAGGCGACGAUCCGUAACUGGUCUGAGAGGAUGAUCAGUCACACUGGAACUGAGACACGGUCCAGACUCCUACGGGAGGCAGCAGCA
Molecule: ribosomal RNA, 202 nt
Filed under: uncultured Pseudomonas sp.
Lineage: Bacteria; Pseudomonadati; Pseudomonadota; Gammaproteobacteria; Pseudomonadales; Pseudomonadaceae
Description: partial 16S ribosomal RNA
Rfam family: Bacterial small subunit ribosomal RNA
Source: RNAcentral